This 312-nucleotide long non-coding RNA is filed under the name Actinidia chinensis (golden kiwifruit). RNAcentral describes it as "long non-coding RNA (ACHI_LNC001687)". Lineage: Eukaryota; Viridiplantae; Streptophyta; Magnoliopsida; Ericales; Actinidiaceae. The record is from RNAcentral.
CAUUACCAACACAAAAUAUCUUUCCAUUUUAUUCUAAACAGGCCAAAAUCUUCAUCAGAGCAAAACCCUGGCCAACUCCCACCGGUUUCAACUCUCCUCCACCGCUAUGGCCACUAUCACGCCGCCUAAUUUCAUGACGGCCGAACUAAUCAACACCACAACCAUCGCAACCCCAAUAUCACUCCGGUGGCUGACAGUGAUUCUGGAAUUAGAGCUCACAAUGGGCUAUUUGAGAGAGAUCGCAGACUCAGAGGAACGGCGGAGAGCACAAGAAGGGUAUGCGGUAAUCCGUUAUCGUAACGCGACUCUGGA